UUCCAAUCAAGUUACGGAUCCAAUACCGGAAAAAUACCCGCCAUCCCUACUGCCACACCCCUUCCGUUACCUAAUACGACGGAAACCUUUCUGUCAUCUUUUGUCUCGAUUAACAGAGCAGGCGAGAUUACAACGAUGGAGGACUCAAAAACGAGGGAUCGGCUAUCUGUAUUUUUGGAUUCUGGGAUUUACCGAUUCGAAUGUUCAAAUGUUGUUUUUAUUGACCCGGUUCGUGUGUUAAAUCUGUCCUAUACCCGUUUUAGGGUUUCUCCAUCUGCCUACUAUUCUCGUUUCUUCGAUCCCAAGUGCUCCGGUGAAGAUCGCCAUGAAACUAAGUUGUCUUCAAGUUCAAAGAAGCGAAAGCGAAGAGAGAAGAAACCUCACUCCUUGAACGAAAGAGAAAGAGCUGCUGAUCAGCGCCACCAGCAAGCGAGGCCUAUGUUGUUGAAGGCAUUGGAAUGCUUAGUGGCGGCUACUGAUCUCUUAGCGAUUAUGAGAAAUUUAAGGAGUGUUUUUUGUCCCUUACAAUGCAGAGAAUUACCAACUCCUCUCAAUGAGCACUCUUUUACGGAACUUUGCCGCGUUUGGCAAGCUCCUUUCUACGAAAUCACUCUUAAUUUUCCUCAACAUCACGAGCCAAGCAGAGAUGCAGGUUCCCUGAUUGAUCCAUGCACUGGCCAAAGAAUUUUUCCAGUUUUCAAUAAUUUGGUUGUUAAUGAGACAGGCAGUGAUGUAGAUGCGGCAUUUCUAAACGAGAAAUAUAUACUACCCAAGGAAAGUUGCUUUUACAUGUCUGAGCUGGAGCAGAUUCACAACCUUAUUCCUGCUGAGGCUGAUUGUGGAUUCAAUCUAAUAGUGGUUGAUCCACCAUGGGAAAAUGCAAGUGCUUCUCAGAAACUCCUGUACCCUACAUUGCCAAAUCGGUAUUUCUUAUCUCUUCCUAUUAAGCAACUUACUCAUACAGAUGGAGCACUUGUAGCCUUAUGGGUGACAAAUAGGGAAAAAUUGCGUAAUUUUGUUGAGAAAGAGCUAUUCCCCUCAUGGGGAAUCCGUUAUGCAGCUAGUUUUUACUGGCUGAAGGUGAAAGCAGAUGGCUCAUUGAUUAGUGAUUUAGACCUCUUUCACCAUAGACCCUAUGAAUGCCUGCUAUUGGGGUACCUUCAUGGGGAGGGUACAAAUUCUGAACAGAUGUCAAGCUGGAGAGCUGUUGAACAUGACAAAAUCAUCAUAAGUAUCCCUGGGGAUUACUCAAGGAAACCUCCAGUUGGAGAGUUGCUGCUGGAGCAUGUUCCAGGCCCUAAACGUGCUCGAUGUAUUGAACUAUUUGCUAGAGAGAUGAUAGGUGGGUGGACUUCUUGGGGAAAUGAGCCUCUUCAUUUUCAGAAGUCAAGCUAUUUUAUAGAAAGAUAAGGACAGCACAUCAAGAUGAAAUGCACUUUUACUGUAACUACAAAAGGGGACCUGGAAUUUAUUGCUUUCAUUUUUUCCAGGACAUGCUUUGUGGCAAUUUCGAGGUGUGAGUAACAAGACAAACAGACUAGUUGACAACCAACUAACCAUGGCGAAAAGCCUAAGGCUGUGGAUGUGGGAAUUGUGAUUUUCAGGAUCUGCUAAUUAUUGGACAUAACAUAUCAUGUGGAUUUAUGGAUAUUGAGGACAAGAUUAGGGAGGUCAUGAAAGUGAUGUUUAGAAGAUAGGAUGGGAAAAGAAAUGGACCUGCUUUAUCUUUUGGGUAGGCAGCGUGGGCUGUUAAGGCAUGUUUGUUAACUUAAAGUACAGAUGUGUUCAAGCCCCACUUUCUAUUAAACCAUGAAUGCUCAAUUAUUUAUGGCA
This is an RNA transcript of Hevea brasiliensis (rubber tree), 1833 nucleotides long. It is a transcript of the gene named methyltransferase-like protein 2, with no coding region annotated. The record is from RefSeq and is a predicted model, not a curated record. Lineage: Eukaryota; Viridiplantae; Streptophyta; Magnoliopsida; Malpighiales; Euphorbiaceae. The transcript has 10 exons.